CAAUAUUUCAGGAUCCUUCCAUGGACCCUUGUCAGAAGUCAUGCAGCCGCCUUUGUCAGCACAAUUACAGGUACCGCCCAAAAACUCUGGCAGCUCACUGUUGAAAAAAAAAAAAUGUUUGAACAUCAUUAUGAGAAACUCUUCCCCACCAAAAACUGAUAAGACAUUAGGCAGGUUAGCUUUGGUCGACAGAAACAGGAAUGGAUUCGAUUGGUCAAGAAGGCACUCACUUAGCAUCAAUUACUUCAAGCAAUUUGCUCUGGUAUUUGUUACCCAAAACCUGGUGAAUAUAGCAUAAAGUUGUUUAGCAAAAUUUUUGGUAUCACAAUCUGAUCUUGUUCAGGUAAAUUAGUGAUUCUUACUUACAUGGAUUUUUGCAGUGGUCUUUGGGUCAAGGAACGAUUUAACUGUGCUCCAUAAGAGCCUAAAUCCAGAGCCAGCAUUGAUGAUAAACAUGCGGUUCAGAGUCUACAAUAUAGAAAUAUUCAAUUAGCUUCAUCUUGACUGAAAAAACUUCAUGCUAGAAGUAGACCAAGAAUCUCAGGGACACAUUAGUUUGAUCUUAUGGAGUUAAU
RNAcentral lists this long non-coding RNA (575 nucleotides) under Theobroma cacao (cacao). RNAcentral's name for it is "long non-coding RNA (TCAC_LNC000737)". The record is from RNAcentral. Lineage: Eukaryota; Viridiplantae; Streptophyta; Magnoliopsida; Malvales; Malvaceae.